CUAAGCACUAAGCAACAGACUCAUCCAAAGCAAUUCCUUGUCUGAGUCAAGGCCAUGUCAAUGUAUUAACACUCUGUUUACUUCAGACCAAAGUUCAGAUGAAUCAGAGAACAUCCAUGUGCCUCUGACUUCCACUUCAUGAUGCUCCUUUGGUUUAGUUAUUGAGGGAGACCCUGGCCCAGAAAACUCUAAGGAUUGAUUGCUCUUGAAGGCACAAGAAAUCACAAUUGCAAUUACCUGGCCCCAGAAGAUAUGUGUGGAUGUUGGUUUUCUGCGUGGGGCAAGGCACUUUGUUGGCUGUAAUACAACAUACCAGCACCGGAAUUUGAGGUGCAAACUCCUCCCAGGCUACAGGAUCAGAACUGCAGUCUCUAAAACAAAACAAAACAAAACAAAACAAAAACAGAAAAGCAAACCUAUGGACGCUAUCAGCUUGCAGCUGAUUCCCUGUAUGGUCACUGGGAAGCUAAGGUCAAGCUGUCAGACCACUGCCAACAGCUGCAGAAGGAGGGCACAGGUGCUGUUCCGAUGGGCCUUGUUCGCAGUGAAGGUCUCACUAGCAGUAAACAUACGAGCUUUGACAAGAGGAGUGUAAAUAGACUCAUAAUUCGUGACCUCACUAAUUUUUUAUGGCUAACUACGCAUCUGAGAUGUCACCAUAAUAUUGUUCAAAAUGUAAGACUUCCUAUUAAAAUGGGAAUUUGAAAAC
This 709-nucleotide long non-coding RNA is filed under the name Vulpes vulpes (red fox). RNAcentral's name for it is "lncRNA (ENSVVUG00000020022.1)". Lineage: Eukaryota; Metazoa; Chordata; Mammalia; Carnivora; Canidae. The record is from RNAcentral.